This 805-nucleotide ribosomal RNA is filed under the name Hirschmanniella mucronata. Its description in RNAcentral is "eukaryotic LSU rRNA". It matches the Rfam family "Eukaryotic large subunit ribosomal RNA", at positions 344 to 964 of the family's 3401-position model. The record is from RNAcentral. Lineage: Eukaryota; Metazoa; Nematoda; Chromadorea; Rhabditida; Pratylenchidae.
ACAAGUACCGUGAGGGAAAGUUGCAAAGCACUUUGAAGAGAGAGUUAAAGAGGACGUGAAACCGAUGAGGUGGAAACGGAUAGAGCUAGCGUAUCUAGCCUGUAUUCAGCCAUGUGUUUGCUGGUGCCUGGGGUGUUCGAUCUCCAGAUUGGGACGGCGUCUAGGUUAUCGGUAGUCAUGUGGUGCAUUUGCAGGUAUUGUGCGACAAGUACCGUGAGGGAAAGUUGCCGAGAUGCUUGGGAUGGCGGCAUCAUCUUAGUUUUGAGGCCAGCUUGCUGGUACCCAGGCUAGGGUAGUGCUGUUCAUACUGAGUUUUGUAUGUUUAUAGGCAUGGCUUACGAGCUUGGGUGAGUUCGAGCUGGCAGUCGGUUACGGUCGCAUGCGACACGUGCCGUGCAGUCAGUUCGGUCCUAUUCGAGUUCUCAUGUCUGUUCUCGGUGUAAAAGCUGGUCAUCUAUCCGACCCGUCUUGAAACACGGACCAAGGAGUUUAUCGUUUGCGCGAGUCAUUGGGUGUUGAAAACCCAAAGGCGAAAUGAAAGUGAAUGUUUCCGUAAGGGACUGACGUGCGAUCCUGGUCAUCUCGGUGUCUGGGAGCAGCAUGGCCCCAUCCUGACUGCUUGCAGUGGGGUGGAGGUAGAGCGUAAGCGGUGAGACCCGAAAGAUGGUGAACUAUUCCUGAGCAAGAUGAAGUCAGAGGAAACUCUGAUGGAAGUCUGAAACGGUUCUGACGUGCAAAUCGAUCGUCUGACUUGGGUAUAGGGGCGAAAGACUAAUCGAACCAUCUAGUAGCUGGUUCCUUCCGA